AUGGGGGUGGCGGCUGGAUCUGGACAGCAAGGGCGGCAGAUUAAAGAGAGACAAAGAAGCCCUGGUCUAGAGAUGAUGCUCCUCAUCGCGCUGUCGAAGCACCAAGAACCACGUCCAGGUCAUGGGGCCGUUGAUGGGAGAUCGACAUCUUACCUGGGCACUGCUCCUGCACGCCGGCGUCAUGGCCAAGCAAGGCCUGCUGGUAAUUUCGUUCCCCUUUCAUAUUUGGGUCAGCAGCGGCUGCUUGAGGGUGUACAGUUCCAGAUGAUAGCCCUUUUCCCCUUAAUUUUUUGCACUAACCUCUUCUCUAUACUACAUGUGCUUCAUGGUGAAAAGCGAGGACAGCAAUUUGACAGUUAUAAUAUGUGUAGGUGCAUAUAUGAGUAG
RNAcentral lists this ribosomal RNA (387 nucleotides) under Triticum aestivum (bread wheat). RNAcentral describes it as "partial small subunit ribosomal RNA". Lineage: Eukaryota; Viridiplantae; Streptophyta; Magnoliopsida; Poales; Poaceae. The record is from RNAcentral.